RNAcentral lists this transfer RNA (90 nucleotides) under compost metagenome. RNAcentral's name for it is "tRNA-Ser". It matches the Rfam family "tRNA". From Rfam's summary of the family: Transfer RNA (tRNA) molecules are approximately 80 nucleotides in length. Their secondary structure includes four short double-helical elements and three loops (D, anti-codon, and T loops). The record is from RNAcentral.
UGGAGAGGUACCCAAGAGGUCGAAGGGGGCUGACUCGAAAUCAGUUAGGCGUGUCAAAGCGUGCGAGGGUUCGAAUCCCUCUCUCUCCGU